CCUACGGGAGGCAGCAGUGAGGAAUAUUGGUCAAUGGGCGCGAGCCUGAACCAGCCAAGCAGCGUGAAGGAUGAAGGCCCUGAGGGUUGUAAACUUCUUUUAUAAAGGAAUAAAGUGAGGCACGUGUGCCUGUUUGUAUGUACUUUAUGAAAAAGGAUCGGCUAACUCCGUGCCAGCAGCCGCGGUAAUACGGAGGAUCCGAGCGUUAUCCGGAUUUAUUGGGUUUAAAGGGUGCGUAGAUGGGUUGUUAAGUCAGUUGUGAAAGUUUGCGGCGCAACCGUAAAAUUGCAAUUGAUACUGGCAGUCUUGAGUACGGUUGAGGUAGGCGGAAUUCGUGGUGUAGCGGUGAAAUGCUUAGAUAUCACGAAGAACUCCGAUUGCGAAGGCAGCUUACUAAACUGCCACUGACAUUGAUGCUCGAAAGUGUGGGUAUCGAACAGGAUUAGAUACCCGAGUAGUC
This 460-nucleotide ribosomal RNA is filed under the name uncultured bacterium. RNAcentral's name for it is "partial 16S ribosomal RNA". It matches the Rfam family "Bacterial small subunit ribosomal RNA", at positions 338 to 795 of the family's 1533-position model. The record is from RNAcentral.